AGCUGGCAGUGAGCCGAGAUGGCGCCACUGCACUCCAGCCUGGGCGACAGAGUGAGACUCCGUCUUAAACAACAACAACAACAAAAAAGCAGUGCUAUGAUCGGGUGUUAACUUCUCAGUAGUACUUCAAAUUAUGGUGAGGGGGUGAGUUAGAAGCUGAGGAAUGGGUGCAGGGAAGUUGGAUGUGGUAUGAAUGAUCUAAAAAUGAGAGCAAUGUGCCAAGUACUGUGCUGAAUCAUUAAGUAUGCAAUCUCUUUUAUUCCUCAUAGUAGCCUUAAAGUUGGUUGGUAUCAUUUUCGUUUUAAAGAUGAUGAAACAGUGACUGAAAAGAUCUAAGAAACUUGCCGAAAGUCCCACAGCUAUGUAGUGGGAUUGCAUAGACUCCUGGACUCAGGGUACCAACCUGAGAUGAGUUGUUCAAGAGCAUUGACUUGGCUGGGUUCCGUGGCUCAUGCCUGUAAUCCUAGCACUUUGGGAGGCCAAGACAGGAGGAUCACAUGAGCCCAGGAGUUCAAGAUCAGCUUGGGCAACAUAGUGAGACUGCCCACCCCCACCCCGGCCCCAUCUCUAAUUAAUUAAUUAAAUUUUAAAAAUAACAUUGACACAACAUGGAGGAGGAAAAUAGAGCAAGUGGAGAGGGGAUAGAGACUUAAUUCCAUCAGCUCCCCUCUUUCCCCUCACCACUCUUCCUUUCCCUGUGUCCCGAACCCGUGUUUCUAAGUCCUGACUGCUAUUAUUCUGGUGUAUUAAAUACAUACUAUUUACUAUUUAAUACAUCUUUUGUUGUUGUUUGUUUUCUCAAAUUUUUUGUGGAGACAGGGUCUCCCUAUGUUGCACAGGAUGGUCUUGGACUCCUGGCCUCGAGCGAUCUUCCCACCUAAGCUCCCAAAGUCCUAGGAUUACAGGCAUGAGCAACCAUGCCCAGCCUAUUUAAUACAUCUUAUUUAAUAUAUAGUAUAAUACGUAAAUAUGUACUAUUUAAUAUUUAACACAUAUUAAAUACAAAUGGUCCCCAACUUACAAUAGUUCAACUUAAGAUUUUUCAACUUUAUGAUGGUGUGAAAGUGAUAGACAUUGAAUAGAAACUGUACAAUAUUCAAUAAAUGAUAUCUAACACUGUCUUAUAAAAUAUGCUUUGUGUUACAUGAUUGUGCCGUUAUAAGCUAUUAUAAGUGUUCCAAGUACGUUUAAGGUCCACUAGUCUAAGCUAUGAUGUUUGGUAGGUUAGGUGUUUUUUUGUUUUCUGUUUUGAGACGGAGUGUCACUCUUGUUGCCCAGGCUGGAGUGCAAUGGCGUGAUCUCAGCUCACCGCAA
Molecule: long non-coding RNA, 1314 nt
Filed under: Homo sapiens (human)
Lineage: Eukaryota; Metazoa; Chordata; Mammalia; Primates; Hominidae
Description: HSALNT0219005
Source: RNAcentral